This 89-nucleotide transfer RNA is filed under the name Candidatus Poribacteria bacterium. RNAcentral's name for it is "tRNA-Ser". It matches the Rfam family "tRNA". Rfam says of the family: Transfer RNA (tRNA) molecules are approximately 80 nucleotides in length. Lineage: Bacteria; Candidatus Poribacteria. The record is from RNAcentral.
AGAGGGAUGUCCGAGUGGCUUAUGGUGCAGUCUUGGAAAGGCUGUGUGGUUAGUAGCCACCGCGGGUUCGAAUCCCGCUCCCUCUGCCA